Molecule: transfer RNA, 149 nt
Filed under: Penicillium salamii
Lineage: Eukaryota; Fungi; Ascomycota; Eurotiomycetes; Eurotiales; Aspergillaceae
Description: tRNA-Tyr
Rfam family: tRNA
About the family: Transfer RNA (tRNA) molecules are approximately 80 nucleotides in length. Their secondary structure includes four short double-helical elements and three loops (D, anti-codon, and T loops).
Source: RNAcentral
GCCCGGCUGGCGCAAUGGUAGCGCAUAAGACUAUAAGUCUCCCCUGUCCCCCCUUUGACCAGUUCGCGAACUAACUUUCACUUACUCUACAGAUCCGUGGUUGCGGCUGUCUUAUCUUAAGGUCAUGGGUUCGACCCCCAUGUCGGGCU